This 1192-nucleotide long non-coding RNA is filed under the name Homo sapiens (human). RNAcentral describes it as "HSALNT0328151". Lineage: Eukaryota; Metazoa; Chordata; Mammalia; Primates; Hominidae. The record is from RNAcentral.
CCGGGGGGCGGGGCGAGCGAGCCGCGGCGCUUCCGCUUUACACGCCCCAGCCGGCGACCGGUUCCAUCUGGCUCGGGCCACUCUGACACCUUUAGUUUCGGUCAACUCAAGGUAGACAGUGUGGCGACUGGAGAGGUCGGGGAACAAGCUUUGUUUCAGCUAAGGGGAAAACAAGCGUUCACAGGAGUCCCCUGACACCUCCCACUCGGAAGAUAGCUAACGGGGGUCCUGCCAACCCUUCCCAUCCAACUUCCAUCUGAAAAGGAUUUUCUGCUAAAGUUGGGUCCAUGGCCAUCCAGCACCUGUAAGGCCGGCAGGAGCGUCUGCCCUCUACUCAGUUAAAGCCUGAAGUCGUUUCCUUUCGAUGGCCCUUAGGAGGCCCAAAAGAGGGGCGACAGAACAUGAUGUUGACACGGGCUGGGCGCCCCCAGAAGCCCGGGAACAAACGUUUCUACUUUCCAGGUCCACUGGUGUUUGGUGUACCCAUGUGACUAAUUUGUCCAAAGAGAGAUUUCUGUGAAUAGACCAGAAGCCGACCUUUACAGUGUGUUUGGGUGCAGAUUCUAGAGGAUGUCUGUGUGCCUUUCUCCCCUUUCAAACGAUAGGGAAGAUAUACUGAGUCCUGUCUUCAGCUAGGGGAUGCCCUGGCCUCCUUCCUAUCUUCAAAGCCUGCAAGAGUGGGCUGAGUCCUUCUCACUCCACCCUCUUCUUUUGUGUACCUUUUCCACUUGUAAGGACCCUUGUAAUUGCAUUGGAUUCACCUGGAUAACCCAGACUGAUCUCCCUAUUUUAAGCAGGUAUCAAUAGGAAGUUUUCAGUCAACCACAAGGUCUCAUAAUCCUUCCUGGAACUAUUCUUGAAUAGUUUGCCGUCUGAAAUGUUGAGAGCUUGCCCCUUGGAUAACAUGCCCCUUGGAUAACAACCAAGUCAGUUCAUGAGCAAGCAGUGGCAAACACUGUGUCCCACCAGCUCCUGACUGACUGAGACUACACGAUACCAUUCAUCAUUAAGAUGUACCUGGAUUUCAAGCAUGUUACUGUGAAAAAUAAAAUGGAGUCUUAGAAAUGAUGAUAUAAGUAGAAUUUAUUUUUUGUCUCUGAAAGACGAAACUCCUAAUUUUUAUAACCCCUACUAUUUAUAAUAAAAUACUGAAAAGAAAUAGUUAUUUUUAAUCACACCAAUAGGCCAAAUC